CAAAAGAAUCAUCUCGUGGAC
This 21-nucleotide non-coding RNA is filed under the name Caenorhabditis elegans. Lineage: Eukaryota; Metazoa; Nematoda; Chromadorea; Rhabditida; Rhabditidae. The record is from RNAcentral.